UCACACACACACACACACACACGGUCGUUUUGUUCACACACACACACACACACACACACACACACACGGUCGUUUUGUUCACACACACACACUGUCGUUUUGUUCACACACACACACAAGGUCGUUUUGUUCACACACACACACACACAAAUGGUCGUUUUGUUCACACACACACACGGUCGUUUUGUUCACACACACACACGGUCGUUUUGUUCACACACACACACGGUCGUUUUGUUCACACACACACACGGUCGUUUUGUUCACACACACACACGGUCGUUUUGUUCACACACACACGGUCGUUUUGUUCACAAACACACACACACGGUCGUUUUGUUCACACACACACACGGUCGUUUUUUUUUCACACACACACACACACACACGGUCGUUUUGUUCUCUCACACACACACGGUCGUUUUGUUCACACACACACACACACACGGUCGUUUUGUUCACACACACACGGUCGUUUUGUUCACACACAACACACACACACGGUCGUUUUGUUCACACACACACACACACGGUCGCUUCGUUCACACACACACACACACACACACGGUCGUUUUGUUCACACACACACACACACGGUCGUUUUGUUCACACACACACACGGUCGUUUUGUUCACACACACACACGGUCGUUUUGUUCACACACACACACACACGGUCGUUUUGUUCACACACACACACACACACACACACACACGGUCGUUUUGUUCACACACACACACACACACGGUCGUUUUGUUCACACACACACACAUGGUCGUUUUGUUCACACACACACACACGGUCGUUUUGUUCACACACACACACACGGUCGUUUUGUUCACACACACACACACGGUCGUUUUGUUCACACACACACACACACAGUCGUUUUGUUCACACACACGCACACACACACACGGUCGUUUUGUUCACACACACACACACACGGUCGUUUUGUUCACACACACACACACGGUCGUUUUGUUCACACACAUACACACACACACACACACACACACACACGGUCGUUUUGUUCACACACACACACACACACACACACACGGUCGUUUUGUUCACACACACACACGGUCGUUUUGUUCACACACACACACGGUCGUUUUGUUCACACACACACACGGUCGUUUUGGUCACACACACACACGGUCGUUUUGUUCACACACACACGGUCGUUUUGUUCACAAACACACACACACACACGGUCGUUUUGUUCACACACACACACGGUCGUUUUUUUCACACACACACACACACACACACACACACACACACCACGGUCGUUUUGUUCUCUCACACACACACGGUCGUUUUGUUCCACACACACACACACACGGUCGUUUUGUUCACACACACACGGUCGUUUUGUUCACACACACACACACACACACACGGUCGUUUUGUUCACACACACACACACACACACGGUCGCUUUGUUCCACACACACACACACACACGGUCGUUUUGUUCACACACACACACACGGUCGUUUUGUUCACACACACACACACACGGUCGUUUUGUUCACACACACAUACACGGUUGUUUUGUUCACACACACGGUCGUUUUGUUCACACACACGGUCGUUUUGUUCACACACACACACGGCCGUUUUGUUCACACACACACACGGCCGUUUUGUUCACACACACACGGUCGUUUUGUUCACACACACACACACAUACACACGGUAGGUUUGUUCUCACACACACACACACACACACACACGGUCGUUUUGUUCACACACACACACACGGUCGUUUUGUUCACACACACGGUCGUUUUGUUCACACACACACACACACGGUCGUUUUGUUCACACACACACACGCGUCGUUUUGUUCCACACACACACACACGGUCGUUUUGUUCACACACACACACACACGGUCGUUUUGUUCACACACACACACGGUCGUUUUGUUCACACACACACACGGUCGUUUUGUUCACACACACACGGUCGUUUUGUUCACACACACACACGGUCGUUUUGUUCACACACACACACGGUCGUUUUGUUCACACACACGGUCGUUUUGUUCACACACACACGGUCGUUUUGUUCUCACACACACACACACACACACGGUCGUUUUGUUCACACACACACACGGUAGUUUUGUUCACACACACAAACACGGUCGUUUUGUUCACACACACAAACACGGUCGUUUUGUUCACACACACACACACACACAGUCGUUUUGUUCACACACACGCACACACACAUACACACACGGUCGUUUUUUCAAACACACACACACAGUCGUUUUGUUCACACACACACACACACACACACGGUCGUUUUGUUCACACACACGGUCGUUUUGUUCACACACACAUACACACACGGUCGUUUUGUUCACACACACACACACACACACACACACACACACACACACACGGUCGUUUUGUUCACACACACACGGUCGUUUUGUUCACACACACACGGUCGUUUUGUUCACACACACACACAUACACACGGUAGGUUUGUUCUCUCACACACACACGGUCGUUUUGUUCACACACACACACACACACACACGGUCGUUUUGUUCACACACACACACACGGUCGUUUUGUUCACACACACACACGGUCGUUUUGUUCACACACACACACACACACACACACACACGGUCGUUUUGUUCACACACACGGUCGUUUUGUUCACACACACACACACACACGGUCGUUUUGUUCACACACACACACACACGGUCGUUUUGUUCACACACACACACACACGGUCGUUUUGUUCACACACACACACACACACACACACGGUCGUUUUGUUCACACACACACACACACACACGGUCGUUUUGUUCACACACACACACGGUCGUUUUGUUCACACACACACACGGUCGUUUUGUUCACACACACACACGGUCGUUUUGUUCACACACACACACACACGGUCGUUUUGUUCACACACACACACGGUCGUUUUGUUCACACACACACACACGGUCGUUUUGUUCACACACACACACGGUCGUUUUGUUCACACACACACACACACACACACACACGGUCGUUUUGUUCUCACACACACACACGGUCGUUUUGUUCACACACACACACACACACGGUCGUUUUGUUCACACACACACACGGUCGUUUUGUUCACACACACACACACGGUCGUUUUGUUCACACACACACACACGGUCGCUUUGUUCACACACACACACACACACACGGUCGUUUUGUUCACACACACACACACACACACGGUCGUUUUGUUCACACACACACACACGGUCGUUUUGUUCACACACACACGGUCGUUUUGUUCACACACACACACACACACGGUCGUUUUGUUCACACACACACACACACACACGGUCGUUUUGUUCACACACACACACACACGGUCGUUUUGUUCACACACACACGGUCGUUUUGUUCACACACACACACGGUCGUUUUGUUCACACACACACACACGGUCGCUUUGUUCACACACACACACGGUCGUUUUGUUCACACACACACACACGGUCGUUUUGUUCACACACACACACGGUCGUUUGUUCACACACACACACACACACGGUCGUUUUGUUCACACACACACACACACACACGGUCGCUUUGUUCACACACACACACACUGUCGUUUUGUUCACACACACACACACACACACGGUCGUUUUGUUCACACACACACACA
RNAcentral lists this long non-coding RNA (3705 nucleotides) under Salmo salar (Atlantic salmon). RNAcentral's name for it is "lncRNA (ENSSSAG00000105422.1, ENSSSAG00000113539.1)". The record is from RNAcentral. Lineage: Eukaryota; Metazoa; Chordata; Actinopteri; Salmoniformes; Salmonidae.